UCCUCGGUAGCUCAAUGGUAGAGCGGGUGGCUGUUAACCACUAGGUUGUAAGUUCGAGUCUUACCCGAGGAGCCA
Molecule: transfer RNA, 75 nt
Filed under: Candidatus Theseobacter exili
Lineage: Bacteria; Pseudomonadati; Candidatus Auribacterota; Candidatus Auribacteria; Candidatus Theseobacterales; Candidatus Theseobacteraceae
Description: tRNA-Asn
Rfam family: tRNA
About the family: Transfer RNA (tRNA) molecules are approximately 80 nucleotides in length. Their secondary structure includes four short double-helical elements and three loops (D, anti-codon, and T loops).
Source: RNAcentral